CUACAGCCUCUUUCAUGUCUGAAGGCAUCGUUCCAUACACUGGACUUACUCAGGAGGAUUCAAUCCAUCCCUUCUUCAGUUCACAUUCACUCUUAAACUCCGGCACCGUGUAUUCUUUUGCAUUAAAAGCUAUGAAGCUCGAGAAAUUAUGCUGAGGAUUUUCAAGAUACCAAAUGCAAUGGAGAAGUGGAGAUUAGGUAAACAUUCCAAUUGAGCGUGGAAGUUGUCUUGGCAGGUUCAAUUAAUAACCAAAGAUGUGACCCAAAAGAAUAAGUCUGUUGGACUGCUGGGGCCCUCGUGAAGUCAAAUCCCCUUUCCUUUCAGCAUAUUGCCUUUGC
Molecule: long non-coding RNA, 338 nt
Organism: Cucumis melo (muskmelon)
Lineage: Eukaryota; Viridiplantae; Streptophyta; Magnoliopsida; Cucurbitales; Cucurbitaceae
Exons: 3
Source: RefSeq, a predicted model, not a curated record